This 2657-nucleotide long non-coding RNA is filed under the name Homo sapiens (human). Its description in RNAcentral is "non-protein coding RUNX2-AS1:32". The record is from RNAcentral. Lineage: Eukaryota; Metazoa; Chordata; Mammalia; Primates; Hominidae.
CACAUCCAUGAGGGAAGAAUCAUUCCCAUUUAACAGACAAUGUAACUGGGCCUGAAUAUAGCUCAGCGACUUGCCCCAGGCCCACCAGGAAGUGGAUAAAGCCAUGCUCAACCCAGCACUUCUUCUCUCUACCUUCCACCGAUCCUGCCUGCUCAUCUUCCCUCCUUGGUGAAGGCAUGUGUGCUGUGCUCUGCUUAACUAAUUUCCCUCAGAUAUUCGCAUUUCUGUCUUUACAAUUUGGCAUCCCAGUGAGGUUUCCCUUUGUAUAUUUUCCGGUUCCUAUAUUCCCAUUAUUCAGGUAUCAUCACUCAAUAACCAUUUGACAGCAGUAAUGCUUUUCACAUGGAAAGAAUUGGGUUUUUAUUGAUGGCAAAUGUUGUGAUGAACUUUCAUGCCCACUUGGAGCCGGAGCACUUUUUUAUAGAAUGAACCACAAUGAGAAGCGUUUCCAAGAAAUGUCUUUGGAGUGUGGACUGAGAUGUACGUUUAGGAACAGGUCCUGUGGCCAGAGUGGGGAGAGAGGGGGCUUCCCAUUGUCAAAAUCUCAUCAAUCAAAAUGUAUAAUAGCAACAUUAUUAAUAACCCUAUAGUUGCAUUGCACUUGGUGCUCUUCCAAGCACUUCCCUAGAAUCCUAAAAUGAAGGCAGGGCAGAUAUUAUAUCCAUGUUACAGGUUAAACAACAUUGUAACAGGACUGAUAACACCAUGAAUGAGAAGUCAUUUGAUCAAUGGAGAGCCAGUUAUUAAACAUUUACCAACAUGUGCAAGAACGGGUUUCAAGGCCGAGGUGGGCAGAUCACAAGGUCAGGACUUUGAGACCAGCCUGGCCAAUAUGGUGAAACCCCAUUUCUACUAAAAAUACAAAAAAAUUAGCCAGGCGUGGUGAUGCAUGCCUGUAAUCCCAGCUACUCGGUAGGCUGAGGCAGGAGAAUUGCUUGAACCCGGGAGGCGGAGGUUUGCAGUGAGCCAAGAUCGCGCCACUGCACUCCAGCCUGGCAACAGAGCAAGACUCCGUCUCAAACAAAACACAGCACAACAAAACAAAAAAGAACGAGUUUCAUAGUGAGAAACAGCGGAGAAACCAGCUUACCUGGUGGGCCUUGAGUGGCCCCUACAAACUCCAACCUGUUCAAGACUCAUUUGCCACGUUGUACCUUCCAGCCAAGGCAAUCCCCCCAGCCUGAGCUACUUCCCAGACCAGACCACAGAAGCAAGGCCAUGCUCACCGAGGACCCCACUUGUGGACUAGACUUCUGUCCUGCUGUGGCCUCAAAAGCAAUAGCCAGGGCCCCAUGAUGAAGCUGCCAUCAGAAGCACAGGUGUGCCUGGCAAGGACACAGGAGGACCACGGCUCCAUGCCGAUGAGAAUGGCAGCUAAGUCUGAAGCUUUCUAUGAUUUAGAUUCCUGGUUGCGAGAGGGAGCCUAUAGGAAUGGCGAGAAGAGUGAGAACUUUGCAGAGGCAGCAAGCUAGGAUUUUCUCUUUGGGUCACCGCGUGUUCUUUGGGGUCAUAUAAAGUACUCUGCUCAAGAACAAAGGCCAGUGUGGCUAUGAUGAAAAUGCAUUGACAGAGGGGCUUCAAUGUCUAUGGAACAGAAACAAGAGCCCUGGACCAAGAGGAGGAAAUGUGGAUUCACCAACAUGUUGAAAAUCAUUCUAACAUCUCCAGGCCUCAGCGUGGUCAUUCACAAAUGGAAUUCAACAAUUUCUAAGGCAACUUUUCUAACAUUUUGGAGAUAAAAAAUUUAAUGUUUAGUAAGUGCUUAUCCUGUGGCAAGCACCAUGCAAGAUCCUUUAAAUUUUUAAUUCUUUAAAAAAAAUCCUGAGCAGCACAACUGUGCAUUUCUCAUAUCACCAAUGUGUGUAUUAGAAAACGGAGGCCCAGUGAGAUAGAGUCCCAUGGUUGAGAAGUAGAGGGGCAGAAUUCUAGAAUCAACAUUGCCAUCCCCAAGAAACGCUGGCUCCCCUCUGCCUCCGCAGCAUUUCCCACACCUCAUGCCCAGAGGCUUUCACAGUCUGGUUCUUCAGUCUCUAAUCCUUCAUAGUUAGAAGGGAGGGUCGUAACUGCAUUCCUUUGUACUGUCAUCAGCUACUUAAAGUGGCAAGAAACAAUAGCCUCUUUCUCUGGAGAGUCCCAGCUCUGCUUUCCUGGAAGGGUUGCUCUUUGGACCCUGCUGGAUCUCUGAGUGAUGGCCAGGGCAGCCCCCAGGUGCACUGGGAAGUUCAGAGGACUCCUGCCACCUAGCACUUCCCUGCAGAUCUUGAAACGUAAAGUGAUGUGAGUCCCUAUUUCCCCCUUACCAAGGCUCCCUCAACUGCCGGUUAUUUGACAUAUACUCAGUCUAUUACAGGACUCAAGAAAGCAUAUAAUGACUCCAUUCACAAAACACUAAGGACUCAUCUUUUCCUGCCAAACACUCACUUUCCUUAUCACCAUGAUGCUUCCUAUCCUUGUGUCUUGACGAAGAGGUGUCUGCCUGUGCAGGGAUGCCUCAUGCCCAAAAUCUCUUCUCCUUGUACACCUGUUACUGAUGCUGGAACCCUGAAAUAAUCACCAGAUGUUCACUAAGUCCCACUGCAAUCAGCGCUGAGAGGGAUCAUUGAGAACCAUGAUAUCUAAGAGGAAUCAUUGCAAAGUGAUUAAGAUCAUGGGCUUCC